Molecule: small nuclear RNA, 107 nt
Filed under: Bombyx mandarina (wild silkworm)
Lineage: Eukaryota; Metazoa; Arthropoda; Insecta; Lepidoptera; Bombycidae
Source: RNAcentral
GUACUUGCUUCGGCAGUACAUGUACUAAAAUUGGAACGGUACAGAGAAGAUUAGCAUGGCCCCUGCGCAAGGAUGACACGCAAAAUCGUGAAGCGUUCCAAAUUUUU